This 253-nucleotide ribosomal RNA is filed under the name uncultured bacterium. Its description in RNAcentral is "partial 16S ribosomal RNA". It matches the Rfam family "Bacterial small subunit ribosomal RNA", at positions 524 to 776 of the family's 1533-position model. The record is from RNAcentral.
UACGGAGGGAGCUAGCGUUGUUCGGAAUUACUGGGCGUAAAGCGCGCGUAGGCGGCCUUGCAAGUUAGAGGUGAAAGCCCGGAGCUCAACUCCGGAACUGCCUUUAAAACUGCAUAGCUUGAAUCCGGGAGAGGUGAGUGGAAUUCCGAGUGUAGAGGUGAAAUUCGUAGAUAUUCGGAAGAACACCGGUGGCGAAGGCGGCUCACUGGACCGGUAUUGACGCUGAGGUGCGAAAGCGUGGGGAGCAAACAGG